This 25-nucleotide non-coding RNA is filed under the name Mus musculus (house mouse). Lineage: Eukaryota; Metazoa; Chordata; Mammalia; Rodentia; Muridae. The record is from RNAcentral.
UAGCUUGUUUGACUUGGACAGUUGA